GAGCUUGCACCAGUUUCUUCUGACCGUUUAUUGGGUUUUGUUUGUUGUUGUAUUCUUUCUCCAUUAGACUUAAGCCAUGUCGUAGCAUCAAUUUGCAGAAAAUUCCACUUGGAAGAUGAAGAGAUCAAUUGCAAGGAUGAAAAAGAAUUCCCUCGCCUCAUGAAAUUGAGUACAGAUCAUGUUUUUGUAUGGUAUGAUCCAAUGGAAAGCAUAGUCAAGGGAACACAAAGAAGGCGAUUUGAUAAGGGCACCACUUGUAAGUUUGCAUGUGAAUUCUUCAUUGAAAUUCUCUUCCGUUCUGGGCGAAAAAAAUAUGAUCACUUGAUAAAGGCGUGCGGAAUUUGGCCAAUAUAUGCGUCCAAAUUACAAGAGGAAGGUCUACAAAUGGAAUUAAAGUUGGAGAAGGGCAUUGUUACAGGCAAUAAUAUCACUGGCCCAGAUGAGAACCCAAAUGCUGAAGUGGCACUGUUACAUCAGCCAUUACCUGAUUCCGUUAGUAGAAGCACUCGUGCGCGCCAGAGGACAUGGAACUUGAGGUGGAUGCCCCCCUUUUUGAGUAACAAAAGAAAAGCUUGAGAAUUCAGUUCCAAUUCCAACAAUUUUUUUUAUGGAUUUCUUUGGAAAGGAGUUGAGUUGACUUUAUCGUAUCAUUCUGGAUAUAAAUGUGUAACUACUUGCAUAGCAGAAAGCCUUGCACAGAAUGAAAUAUAGAACGAGAAGAAACAUAUAUGGAUGCCAUGUAUUUCAACUGUCUAACUUUCAUAUUAUAUAAUAUUGGCUAAUUAGGCAGGCCAAUCCAAGUAUGAACACAAGCAUGUCAAGCAUCUUUUUCAGAUAUGGAGGCUUAAACGUGUCACAUUAAACUCAAACUUCAGCAAAAGCACUUGCCAUCAAUGUCUGAGAUGAAGGUAGCUAUUCUAGCCCUAGUCCUUCACGGCUACUCAAAUUUUAAUUUCAAAUUGAAGGUUUUCUUCUCAAAGGAAGUGGGGGAAAGAGCUGCAUUUCUAUUUAUGAAGAUGUAGCAGUUACAACUGCAAGGGUGCUUAUGACAAUGAGAGGUUGACAGAAGAAUAGCAUCAGAAAUACAAUGAGGCUUGUUGCUUAGUGCUUGGUCUUUCCUACAAAUACUGGUGACAGCAUCAUCAAGUUGAUUUCUUGCAUCUUACAGCAGAAGAAUGUUUUCAUCUUACAGUCUGUGUUUCUUAAAAACAGAGUGUAUUAUGUAACUCAUUAUGUGAAGCAACAUUGGUUUCAUCCAA
This is a long non-coding RNA of Neltuma alba, 1259 nucleotides long. RefSeq lists it as uncharacterized. The record is from RefSeq and is a predicted model, not a curated record. NCBI's taxonomy places the organism in Eukaryota, Viridiplantae, Streptophyta, Magnoliopsida, Fabales, Fabaceae. The transcript is spliced from 5 exons.